UACGGGGUGGGCAAGCGUUGUUCGGAAUUACUGGGCGUAAAGGGCUCGUAGGCGGCCAACCAAGUCAGACGUGAAAUCCCUCGGCUUAACCGGGGAACUGCAUCUGAUACUGGAUGGCUUGAGUUCGGGAGAGGGAUGCGGAAUUCCAGGUGUAGCGGUGAAAUGCGUAGAUAUCUGGAGGAACACCGGUGGCGAAGGCGGCAUCCUGGACCGACACUGACGCUGAGGCGCGAAAGCUAGGGGAGCAAACGGG
Molecule: ribosomal RNA, 253 nt
Filed under: uncultured bacterium
Lineage: Bacteria
Description: partial 16S ribosomal RNA
Rfam family: Bacterial small subunit ribosomal RNA
Source: RNAcentral